UACGAAGGGGGCUAGCGUUGUUCGGAAUUACUGGGCGUAAAGCGCACGUAGGCGGAUCUAUAAGUCAGGGGUGAAAUCCCGGGGCUCAACCUCGGAACUGCCUUUGAUACUGUAGAUCUCGAGUCCGAUAGAGGUGAGUGGAAUUCCUAGUGUAGAGGUGAAAUUCGUAGAUAUUAGGAAGAACACCAGUGGCGAAGGCGGCUCACUGGAUCGGUACUGACGCUGAGGUGCGAAAGCGUGGGGAGCAACAGG
Molecule: ribosomal RNA, 252 nt
Filed under: uncultured bacterium
Lineage: Bacteria
Description: partial 16S ribosomal RNA
Rfam family: Bacterial small subunit ribosomal RNA
Source: RNAcentral